GAUGAACGCUGGCGGCGUGCCUAAUACAUGCAAGUCGAGCGAACGGACGAGAAGCUUGCUUCUCUGAUGUUAGCGGCGGACGGGUGAGUAACACGUGGAUAACCUACCUAUAAGACUGGGAUAACUUCGGGAAACCGGAGCUAAUACCGGAUGAUAUUUUGAACCGCAUGGUUCAAAAGUGAAAGACGGUCUUGCUGUCACUUAUAGAUGGAUCCGCGCUGCAUUAGCUAGUUGGUAAGGUAACGGCUUACCAAGGCAACGAUGCAUAGCCGGCCUGAGAGGGUGAUCGGCCACACUGGAACUGAGACACGGUCCAGACUCCUAUGGGAGGCAGCAGUAGGGAAUCUUCCGCAAUGGGCGAAAGCCUGACGGAGCAACGCCGCGUGAGUGAUGAAGGUCUUCGGAUCGUAAAACUCUGUUAUUAGGGAAGAACAUAUGUGUAAGUAACUGUGCACAUCUUGGCGGUACCUAAUCAGAAAGCCACGGCUAACUACGUG
Molecule: ribosomal RNA, 497 nt
Filed under: uncultured bacterium
Lineage: Bacteria
Description: partial 16S ribosomal RNA
Rfam family: Bacterial small subunit ribosomal RNA
Source: RNAcentral